Molecule: ribosomal RNA, 124 nt
Organism: Cavia aperea (Brazilian guinea pig)
Lineage: Eukaryota; Metazoa; Chordata; Mammalia; Rodentia; Caviidae
Source: Ensembl
GUCUACGGCCAUACCACCCCGAACGCUCCCGAUCUCAUCUGAUCUCAGAAGCUAAGCAGGGUCGGGCCUGGUUAGUACUUGGAUGGGAGGAGGAGACAGAGAAAUAUAUCACAUGUUGAAAACU